Molecule: ribosomal RNA, 742 nt
Filed under: uncultured bacterium
Lineage: Bacteria
Description: bacterial SSU rRNA
Rfam family: Bacterial small subunit ribosomal RNA
Source: RNAcentral
AGCGGCGGACGGGUGAGUAACACGUGGGUAACCUGCCCAAGAGACUGGGAUAACACCUGGAAACAGAUGCUAAUACCGGAUAACAACACUAGACGCAUGUCUAGAGUUUGAAAGAUGGUUCUGCUAUCACUCUUGGAUGGACCUGCGGUGCAUUAGCUAGUUGGUAAGGUAACGGCUUACCAAGGCAAUGAUGCAUAGCCGAGUUGAGAGACUGAUCGGCCACAUUGGGACUGAGACACGGCCCAAACUCCUACGGGAGGCAGCAGUAGGGAAUCUUCCACAAUGGACGAAAGUCUGAUGGAGCAACGCCGCGUGAGUGAAGAAGGGUUUCGGCUCGUAAAGCUCUGUUGGUAGUGAAGAAAGAUAGAGGUAGUAACUGGCCUUUAUUUGACGGUAAUUACUUAGAAAGUCACGGCUAACUACGUGCCAGCAGCCGCGGUAAUACGUAGGUGGCAAGCGUUGUCCGGAUUUAUUGGGCGUAAAGCGAGUGCAGGCGGUUCAAUAAGUCUGAUGUGAAAGCCUUCGGCUCAACCGGAGAAUUGCAUCAGAAACUGUUGAACUUGAGUGCAGAAGAGGAGAGUGGAACUCCAUGUGUAGCGGUGGAAUGCGUAGAUAUAUGGAAGAACACCAGUGGCGAAGGCGGCUCUCUGGUCUGCAACUGACGCUGAGGCUCGAAAGCAUGGGUAGCGAACAGGAUUAGAUACCCUGGUAGUCCAUGCCGUAAACGAUGAGUGCUGAGUGU